This 97-nucleotide non-coding RNA is filed under the name Aneurinibacillus migulanus. Its description in RNAcentral is "SAM-I sequence". It matches the Rfam family "SAM riboswitch aptamer (S box leader)". From Rfam's summary of the family: The SAM riboswitch is found upstream of a number of genes which code for proteins involved in methionine or cysteine biosynthesis in Gram-positive bacteria. The record is from Rfam by way of RNAcentral. Lineage: Bacteria; Bacillati; Bacillota; Bacilli; Caryophanales; Paenibacillaceae.
CUCUUAUGAAGAGAGAGGGAGGGACUGGCCCGAUGAACUCUCGGCAACCUGGUGUGCAAAGGUGCCAAAUCCAGCGGAUACUUCCGGAAGAUAAGAG